GUAGGGAAUAUUGGGCAAUGGAUGGAAGUCUGAACCAGCCAUGCCGCGUGAAGGAUGAAGGCCCUCUGGGUUGUAAACUUCUUUUAUCUGGGACGAAAAAAGGGUAUUCUUACUCACUUGACGGUACCAGAGGAAUAAGCACCGGCUAACUCCGUGCCAGCAGCCGCGGUAAUACGGAGGGUGCAAGCGUUAUCCGGAUUCACUGGGUUUAAAGGGUGCGUAGGUGGGUAUUUAAGUCAGUGGUGAAAUCGCCGCGCUUAACUCGGAAACUGCCAUUGAUACUAUUUACCUUGAAUGCACUGGAGGUAAGCGGAAUAUGUCAUGUAGCGGUGAAAUGCUUGGAUAUGACAUAGAACACCAAUUGCGAAGGCAGCUUACUACGGGGUGAUUGACACUGAGGCACGAAAGCGUGGGGAGCAAACAGGAUUAGAAACCCGUGUAGUCC
Molecule: ribosomal RNA, 445 nt
Filed under: uncultured bacterium
Lineage: Bacteria
Description: partial 16S ribosomal RNA
Rfam family: Bacterial small subunit ribosomal RNA
Source: RNAcentral